This 326-nucleotide ribosomal RNA is filed under the name Sepsis fulgens. RNAcentral describes it as "partial 12S ribosomal RNA". The record is from RNAcentral. Lineage: Eukaryota; Metazoa; Arthropoda; Insecta; Diptera; Sepsidae.
CUAAAGUAGUAGUAGUUAUGUUCUUGAAACUUAAAAAAUUUGGCGGUAUUUUAGUCUAUUCAGAGGAACCUGUCCUAUAAUCGAUAAUCCACGUUGGACCUAACUUAGAUUUGUUUAUCAGUUUGUAUACCGUCGUUAUAAGAAUAUUUUAUUAGAAUAAUAAUUUUCUAGAAUUUUUAUAAAAAUUUAUAUCAGAUCAAGGUGCAGCUUAUGUUUAAGUAGAGAUGGGUUACAAUAAAAAUAUUUAUACGAAUUAGUUUUUGAAAUAAAAUUAUAAAGGUGGAUUUGAAUGUAAAAUUAUAAAGAUAAAUAAUUUGAUUUUAGCU